UACGUAGGGUGCGAGCGUUAAUCGGAAUUACUGGGCGUAAAGCGUGCGCAGGCGGUUCGUUGUGUCGGUGGUGAAAUCCCCGGGCUUAACCUGGGAAUGGCCAUGGAAACUGGCGAACUGGAGUGCGGCAGAGGGGGGUGGAAUUCCGCGUGUAGCAGUGAAAUGCGUAGAGAUGCGGAGGAACGCCGAUGGCGAAGGCAGCCCCCUGGGCUAGCACUGACGCUCAGGCACGAAAGCGUGGGGAGCAAACAGG
RNAcentral lists this ribosomal RNA (253 nucleotides) under uncultured bacterium. RNAcentral describes it as "partial 16S ribosomal RNA". It matches the Rfam family "Bacterial small subunit ribosomal RNA", at positions 524 to 776 of the family's 1533-position model. The record is from RNAcentral.